CCUACGGGUGGCAGCAGUGAGGAAUAUUGGUCAAUGGGCGCGAGCCUGAACCAGCCAAGUCGCGUGAGGGAGGACGGCCCUACGGGUUGUAAACCUCUUUUGCCGGGGAGCAACGGGCGUCACGUGUGGCGCCACUGAGAGUACCCGGAGAAAAAGCAUCGGCUAACUCCGUGCCAGCAGCCGCGGUAAUACGGAGGAUGCGAGCGUUAUCCGGAUUUAUUGGGUUUAAAGGGUGCGUAGGCGGUAUUUUAAGUUAGUGGUAAAACGUCGGGGCUUCACCUUGAUUGGCCAUUAAAACUGGAGUACUAGAGUACAGACGAGGUAGGCGGAAUAAGUUAAGUAGCGGUGAAAUGCUUAGAUAUAACUUAGAACCCCGAUAGCGAAGGCAGCUUACCAGACUGUUACUGACGCUGAAGCACGAGAGCGUGGGUAGCGAACAGGAUUAGAUACCCGGGUAGUC
This 460-nucleotide ribosomal RNA is filed under the name uncultured bacterium. RNAcentral describes it as "partial 16S ribosomal RNA". It matches the Rfam family "Bacterial small subunit ribosomal RNA", at positions 338 to 795 of the family's 1533-position model. The record is from RNAcentral.